RNAcentral lists this ribosomal RNA (539 nucleotides) under Salmonella enterica subsp. enterica serovar Enteritidis. RNAcentral's name for it is "partial 23S ribosomal RNA". It matches the Rfam family "Bacterial large subunit ribosomal RNA", at positions 689 to 1226 of the family's 2925-position model. The record is from RNAcentral. Lineage: Bacteria; Pseudomonadati; Pseudomonadota; Gammaproteobacteria; Enterobacterales; Enterobacteriaceae.
CGGGCGUUAAGUUGCAGGGUAUAGACCCGAAACCCGGUGAUCUAGCCAUGGGCAGGUUGAAGGUUGGGUAACACUAACUGGAGGACCGAACCGACUAAUGUUGAAAAAUUAGCGGAUGACCUGUGGCUGGGGGUGAAAGGCCAAUCAAACCGGGAGAUAGCUGGUUCUCCCCGAAAGCUAUUUAGGUAGCGCCUCGUGAAUUCAUCUCCGGGGGUAGAGCACUGUUUCGGCUAGGGGGCCAUCCCGGCUUACCAACCCGAUGCAAACUGCGAAUACCGGAGAAUGUUAUCACGGGAGACACACGGCGGGUGCUAACGUCCGUCGUGAAGAGGGAAACAACCCAGACCGCCAGCUAAGGUCCCAAAGUCAUGGUUAAGUGGGAAACGAUGUGGGAAGGCCCAGACAGCCAGGAUGUUGGCUUAGAAGCAGCCAUCAUUUAAAGAAAGCGUAAUAGCUCACUGGUCGAGUCGGCCUGCGCGGAAGAUGUAACGGGGCUAAACCAUGCACCGAAGCUGCGGCAGCGACACUGUGUGUUGUUG